GAUCAAAGAUGGUUAGAAGGAAUAAGAUAACCGACUCCCGUCUUUUCUAGGCGACAUGAAUAGCGCCGCUCUGGAGAGUCAAAAGCCAACUAAUAUGCAACGUUCUCCUACACUGAUAGAAAAAUAAUAGUAUGUUUAAACAUACACCCAUUCUUAUUUUUACUACGCCGUAAAAUGAUAACCAUAACCAUGAAAAUGGUUAUGUGUAUCGAAAAAUUGUGACGACAACUAUAAAUCCGCGACAAUUUAAAUAGUAAUCUUUACCGUACAACGUAGUUGGCCAAAAUGUUCUGGAAGACUGUUUUGCUGUGGUUUCUAAAACGUCCAUACCUACAACCAAGUACCUAACUACAUAAACUGUUUCAACUGUAGAUAACAAUUGAUUUUAUCCCGAAUACAUAUUUGGUUUACGACACCCCUACGAUAUUGCAUCGGUUCUGUUUGUUCACAAACUGAACAUGGCUGACUUGGAGGACUAAACCGAAUCGCAGUGCUUCGGCGGAAUCAAGAGCACGCUGAGAUAUGUUCAACCCGGAAGAUGGUCCCGUGAUAAUCACUGAUGGCUCCAGCAAAAUGUUCGGCAACUACGAAUGGGUCGACGUGAUGAUCUUCGCCCCGAACGGGUGAAACGACAUUUCCCCCGAUCGGCAUGAACUCCUUUUGCAGAAACCGCUGAUAGAGCAAUCGAAAUCAACAUACCCCGUCCGGUCCAUUUUUGUCGAACGAGGACGACGACAGCACCAUCAAUCUAACCGGGGACACUGCCAAGCGGUGUGUGCCUUCACGCGGAGUAUCGCCGUAGCCGUCCAGGUAAAAUGGGAUUCAGCCAAUAUCGCUAUUUUGCAUAAAAA
Molecule: long non-coding RNA, 851 nt
Organism: Aedes aegypti (yellow fever mosquito)
Lineage: Eukaryota; Metazoa; Arthropoda; Insecta; Diptera; Culicidae
Exons: 2
Source: RefSeq, a predicted model, not a curated record